AUUGAACGCUGGCGGCAGGCCUAACACAUGCAAGUCGAACGGUAACAGGAAGAAGCUUGCUUCUUUGCUGACGAGUGGCGGACGGGUGAGUAAUGUCUGGGAAACUGCCUGAUGGAGGGGGAUAACUACUGGAAACGGUAGCUAAUACCGCAUAACGUCGCAAGACCAAGGAGGGGGACAUUCGGGCCUCUUGCCAUCGGAUGUGCCCAGAUGGGAUUAGCUAGUAGGUGGGGUAACGGCUCACCUAGGCGACGAUCCCUAUCUGGUCUGAGAGGAUGACCAGCCACACUGGAACUGAGACACGGUCCAGACUCCUACGGGAGGCAGCAGUGGGGAAUAUUGCACAAUGGGCGCAAGCCUGAUGCAGCCAUGCCGCGUGUAUGAAGAAGGCCUUCGGGUUGUAAAGUACUUUCAGCGGGGAGGAAGGGAGUAAAGUUAAUACCUUUGCUCAUUGACGUUACCCGCAGAAGAAGCACCGGCUAACUCCGUG
Molecule: ribosomal RNA, 490 nt
Filed under: uncultured bacterium
Lineage: Bacteria
Description: partial 16S ribosomal RNA
Rfam family: Bacterial small subunit ribosomal RNA
Source: RNAcentral